RNAcentral lists this unclassified non-coding RNA (285 nucleotides) under Hevea brasiliensis (rubber tree). Lineage: Eukaryota; Viridiplantae; Streptophyta; Magnoliopsida; Malpighiales; Euphorbiaceae. The record is from RNAcentral.
AAUAUGCAUCCUAUGCUCCAAAUAUCAAUUGCAGGGGUGUAUUUAGAGAAAAAAGAGCCACAAAGUUCAGGAGCUCGAUACCACCUUGUUGCUACAUAGUCAGUCCAAAAAAUAGCUGAUGGGGCAUCAUUAAAAGAUACUCGAGCAAGACCAAAAUCACAUAUCUUCAGUUUGCAAUCGGCAUUAGCAAGAAUGUUUUUUGGCUUUAAAUCUCGAUGAAACACACCAGCUGUAUGUAUAUAUUUCAGACCACGAAGAAGCUGGUACAAGAAAAACUGAUAAUGC